GAAUGCUGACAUAAGUAACGAUAAAGCGGGUGAAAAGCCCGCUCGCCGGAAGACCAAGGGUUCCUGUCCAACGUUAAUCGGGGCAGGGUGAGUCGACCCCUAAGGCGAGGCCGAAAGGCGUAGUCGAUGGGAAACGGGUUAAUAUUCCCGUACUUGGUGUUACUGCGAAGGGGGGACGGAGAAGGCUAUGUUGGCCGGGCGACGGUUGUCCCGGUUUAAGCGUGUAGGUGUGUGUUCCAGGUAAAUCCGGUUCACUUUAACACUGAGGCGUGAUGACGAGGCACUACGGUGCUGAAGCAACAAAUGCCCUGCUUCCAGGAAAAGCCUCUAAGCAUCAGGUAACACGAAAUCGUACCCCAAACCGACACAGGUGGUCAGGUAGAGAAUACCAAGGCGCUUGAGAGAACUCGGGUGAAGGAACUAGGCAAAAUGGUGCCGUAACUUCGGGAGAAGGCACGCUGACACGUAGGUGAAGUGAUUUACUCAUGGAGCUGAAGUCAGUCGAAGAUACCAGCUGGCUGCAACUGUUUAUUAAAAACACAGCACUGUGCAAACACGAAAGUGGACGUAUACGGUGUGACGCCUGCCCGGUGCCGGAAGGUUAAUUGAUGGGGUCAGCGCAAGCGAAGCUCCUGAUCGAAGCCCCGGUAAACGGCGGCCGUAACUAUAACGGUCCUAAGGUAGCGAAAUUCCUUGUCGGGUAAGUUCCGACCUGCACGAAUGGCGUAAUGAUGGCCAGGCUGUCUCCACCCGAGACUCAGUGAAAUUGAACUCGCUGUGAAGAUGCAGUGUACCCGCGGCAAGACGGAAAGACCCCGUGAACCUUUACUAUAGCUUGACACUGAACAUUGAGCCUUGAUGUGUAGGAUAGGUGGGAGGCUUUGAAGUGUGGACGCCAGUCUGCAUGGAGCCGACCUUGAAAUACCACCCUUUAAUGUUU
This 940-nucleotide ribosomal RNA is filed under the name Salmonella enterica. RNAcentral's name for it is "partial 23S ribosomal RNA". It matches the Rfam family "Bacterial large subunit ribosomal RNA", at positions 1292 to 2215 of the family's 2925-position model. The record is from RNAcentral. Lineage: Bacteria; Pseudomonadati; Pseudomonadota; Gammaproteobacteria; Enterobacterales; Enterobacteriaceae. RNAcentral also lists the same sequence under 2 other names.